This 263-nucleotide unclassified non-coding RNA is filed under the name uncultured fungus. RNAcentral's name for it is "partial contains small subunit ribosomal RNA, internal transcribed spacer 1, and 5.8S ribosomal RNA". The stretch from base 1 to 73 matches the Rfam family "Eukaryotic small subunit ribosomal RNA", at positions 1759 to 1831 of the family's 1831-position model. Lineage: Eukaryota; Fungi. The record is from RNAcentral.
GCAAACUUGGUCAUUUAGAGGAAGUAAAAGUCGUAACAAGGUUUCCGUAGGUGAACCUGCGGAAGGAUCAUUACUUAGAGUACCGGGCUUCGGCCUGGCUACUUUUACCCAUGUUUUUUCAGUACCAAAGUUUCCUCGGCGGCUCACCCCGCCGGCUGGACUCCAUUCAAACCUCUUGCAGUUGCAGUCAGCGUCUGAUAAACCUAAUAAUUAAAACUUUCAACAACGGAUCUCUUGGUUCUGGCAUCGAUGAAGAACGCAGC